GCCUUGGUGGUGAAAUGGUAGACACGCGAGACUCAAAAUCUCGUGCUAAAGAGCGUUGAGUUUCUCGACCCUUUGCC
This 77-nucleotide transfer RNA is filed under the name Suriana maritima. Its description in RNAcentral is "tRNA-Leu". Lineage: Eukaryota; Viridiplantae; Streptophyta; Magnoliopsida; Fabales; Surianaceae. The record is from RNAcentral.